AGGAGGCCCUUUGCUAUGCGGCAGGGUUAGAGCACUAGGCUUCAUCUCUGCUUCUUUAUAGCAGAAGCAACAUGGCCAACUGCCUCAUGCUCCUGCUGCCAAAAUGGAUUGUAUCUUCUCAGAAUAUAAAAACAACCAAGGAUACAAGAAUCAGUGCCUCAUACCUGCUUCCUGAAAAAAAAAAUCCUCUCAAAUGUUCAGAUCAGCCUGCUAUGGUCUGAAUGUUGACUCUUGAGAAAUGAGUGCGUCAAAACUGAACUUCUCAAGUUUACUUGGAGGUCCUGAGUUCACUUCUCAGCACCAUCCGGGAGAAGAAGCAGAAGGAUGGGAAGCCUAGGGUGUAAGGAUUCUAUGCCUCUUCUUCUCUUUGAUCCCUGACAUUUCCACAUGAACAAGUCCAGCUCUCCUGCUAGAGGGUGAGAAGAUAAGAGGCCAAGUGGAGCAAAGAUGGAUGACCCACCACGAGGACUCAGACCUGUUAGAGAGGCUACCUGAAGUCAGCAGUGGUGAUCUUGCAGCAGUCCAAAGAUGCACAAAGCCAUCAAGCACCGAGGUGGCUCAUUAUCUAGGAAAAGCUCACAGGUCCCCGAAGUUCAGGAUGAAAAUCUUAUCCACUGGCACACAACUAACUAGCACUCUGAAACAUUAUGAGGAUACGCUUGGCAGGGUAAGACAUCCCUCAGCUUUACUCAUACUCACCGAGCUGUUCAGUUUUACAGGAGCUAAUAAGAGAAAGCUAGAAUUGUAAAAAUACUUAGGUAAUAUAGGGAGAAGGGGCCCAGGAAAGAACAGCCUGCCCCUGAGCUCUUGAGACUUGAAAAUCCCCACCCCUAUGACUAAGUGUUAAAGGUCAAACGAUACUUCUGGCUGCUUUGUACUUUUCCACUACCUC
Mastomys coucha (southern multimammate mouse) is the source of this 892-nucleotide long non-coding RNA. RefSeq lists it as uncharacterized. The record is from RefSeq and is a predicted model, not a curated record. The transcript has 4 exons. Lineage: Eukaryota; Metazoa; Chordata; Mammalia; Rodentia; Muridae.